This 85-nucleotide transfer RNA is filed under the name Felis catus (domestic cat). It matches the Rfam family "tRNA". Rfam says of the family: Transfer RNA (tRNA) molecules are approximately 80 nucleotides in length. Their secondary structure includes four short double-helical elements and three loops (D, anti-codon, and T loops). Lineage: Eukaryota; Metazoa; Chordata; Mammalia; Carnivora; Felidae. The record is from Rfam by way of RNAcentral.
GCCUGGGGGGCUCAGUCGGUUGAGCGUCUGACUUCAGCUCAGGUCAUGAUCUCGUGGUUUGUGGGUUCAAGCCCCAUGUCGGGCU